AAAACACCGGUUCUCGUUCGAUCACCGAAGUUAAGCAUCGUAGAGCCAGGUCAGUACUUAGAUGGGGACCGCUUGGGAACACCUGGUACUGUAA
This is a non-coding RNA of Acanthosepion pharaonis, 94 nucleotides long. Lineage: Eukaryota; Metazoa; Mollusca; Cephalopoda; Sepiida; Sepiidae. The record is from the annotation of a GenBank genome assembly.